UAAAAAGAUUUAUAUUGUUUGUAAGAACGCAUUUGAAAUAGAAGUGUCGCUAACUUUGACUCUUCUGUAUUGGGAGGAGCACAAGUUUAGAUCCGCUGUCUCGAGAUUCCAGUCUAUUGAAUCCAAGGAUUAAGAAAAAAAGGUGCUCCCAAGUCGCCUCGACAAACAACCCAGCUGUUAGCAUUAAUGGUCUCGGCGUCCACACAAUUGUGAGAUCUCAGUGCCCUAUCUCCGCUAGUGUUGUCAAUCAGCAGGGAAAGACAUUUUACUUGACUGAGGUGGAAGUGUAAGCUGAAUUAGUCCCCUUUAUACUCUUUAAGGAAUCACAACUGAUUUGCUUUAAGCAGUCAAUGAAAGAAGUUUGAUCUAUAAAGUCUAUGUCUACAGAUGAUUUUGGGUAAGGCAAUACAUGUUCUAAGGAUUCAUAGCAGAGAACAGGAGAACACUGAGAACAAGAUUCUGAGGUACAAUGCUGGAGAACGAAGUAAAGCUGCAAAUAAGACAAAGUACAGCUCCAACUUAACAGACGUCUUGCAGCUAUAUUGCUAAUGUACGGAAACAAGCCAGUGAUGGAAUUUCUACGUUACUUUUCCUACAAUUUAACUUUGUGAAAGUUUGAGUGUGUGUGUGUG
Biomphalaria glabrata is the source of this 632-nucleotide long non-coding RNA. RefSeq lists it as uncharacterized. The record is from RefSeq and is a predicted model, not a curated record. The transcript has 4 exons. NCBI's taxonomy places the organism in Eukaryota, Metazoa, Mollusca, Gastropoda, Planorbidae.